GUGGGUAUAGCUCAGUGGUAGAGAGUGUGCUUAGCAUGCACGAGGUCCUGGGUUUAAUCCCCAGUACUUCCA
This 72-nucleotide transfer RNA is filed under the name Camelus bactrianus (Bactrian camel). It matches the Rfam family "tRNA". From Rfam's summary of the family: Transfer RNA (tRNA) molecules are approximately 80 nucleotides in length. Their secondary structure includes four short double-helical elements and three loops (D, anti-codon, and T loops). The record is from Rfam by way of RNAcentral. Lineage: Eukaryota; Metazoa; Chordata; Mammalia; Artiodactyla; Camelidae. RNAcentral also lists the same sequence under 1 other name.